This 489-nucleotide ribosomal RNA is filed under the name uncultured bacterium. RNAcentral's name for it is "partial 16S ribosomal RNA". It matches the Rfam family "Bacterial small subunit ribosomal RNA", at positions 30 to 506 of the family's 1533-position model. The record is from RNAcentral.
AUUGAACGCUGGCGGCAGGCCUAACACAUGCAAGUCGAACGGUAACAGGAAGAAGCUUGCUUCUUUGCUGACGAGUGGCGGACGGGUGAGUAAUGUCUGGGAAACUGCCUGAUGGAGGGGGAUAACUACUGGAAACGGUAGCUAAUACCGCAUAACGUCGCAAGACCAAAGAGGGGGACCUUCGGGCCUCUUGCCAUCGGAUGUGCCCAGAUGGGAUUAGCUUGUUGGUGGGGUAACGGCUCACCAAGGCGACGAUCCCUAGCUGGUCUGAGAGGAUGACCAGCCAAACUGGAACUGAGACACGGCCCAGACUCCUACGGGAGGCAGCAGUGGGGAAUAUUGCACAAGGGGGGCAAGCCUGAUGCAGCCAUGCCGGGUGUAUGAAGAAGGCCUUCGGGUUGUAAAGUACUUUCAGGGGGGAGGAAGGGAGUAAAGUUAAAACCUUUGCUCAUUGACGUUACCCGCAGAAGAAGCACCGGCUAACUCCGU